AGUGGCAGACGAGCGAGUAACGCGUACUUAACUUGCCCUCGAGACGAGAACAACUAUGGAGACAUAGCUAAUUCUCGAUAUGCUCACAAUGGUGAAAUUCCUAUGUGAGGAAAGAUUUAUUGCUCGGGGAGAGGGGUGCGUCCUAUCAGGUUGUUGGUGAGGUAAAGGCUCACCAAGCCUAUGACGGGUAGCCGGUUUGAGAUGAUGAUCGGCCGCGAUGGGACUGAGACACGGCCCAUACUCCUACGGGAGGCAGCAGUGGGGAAUAUUGCACAAUGGACGAAAGUCUGAUGCAGCGAUUCUGCGUGGAGGACGAAGGAUUACGGUGUGUAAACUCCUGUUUUGGUAGAAGACGAAUGACGGUAUACCUAGAAUAAGGGACGGCUAACUAUGUGCCAGCAGCCGCCGGUAAUACCUAGGUCUCAAGCGUUAUCCGGAUUUACUGGGCGUUAAGAGUCCGUAGCCGGGACAUAUCAGUCUGUUUUCGAAUCCUAUGGCUCAACCAUAUGAUCGGGAAUAGAUACUGUAUGUCUGGAAGUCAUGGGAGGAUAGUGGAAUUCCAGGUGGAGCGGUGGAAUGCGUCGAUAUCUGAAAGAACUCCGAAAGCAAAGGCAGUUAACUACAUUGAACUUGACCGUAAGGGACGAAAGCUUGCGUACAGAACGGGAUUAGAUACCCCGGUAGUCCAAGCCGUAAAUGAUGCUUGCUAGAUCUUUUGGACCCGGUGCCUCUGGAGUGUCGUAAUCGUAACGAGCUAAGCAAGCCCCCUGGCUAGUAUAUUAGUAAGAAUGAAAGUCAAAGGGAUAGACGGGGGAACACACAAGCUAGUGGAUUGUGUAGAUUAAUUGGACACUAAGCCAAGUAUCGAACCUAGAUUGGAAAUGUACUAUGUCCUAUGUGCCAGCAUAAUAGUCCGAGCAAUCGGACAUGGUAUACAGUUGGUGCAUGUUCGUAGUCAGCUCGUUCCGUAAGGUGUCUAGUUAAGUCUGGAAACGAGCGCAACCCUCAUCUUUAGUGUAGAAUGUAUGAAGAGACUGCUCUGGUAAACGGAGAGGAAGGAGAGGAUGAACGUCAGAUCCUCAUGCCCCUUACAUUUAUGGGCUUCAUAGACGAUACAAUGGGUGAUACAA
RNAcentral lists this ribosomal RNA (1130 nucleotides) under uncultured organism. Its description in RNAcentral is "bacterial SSU rRNA". It matches the Rfam family "Bacterial small subunit ribosomal RNA", at positions 94 to 1242 of the family's 1533-position model. The record is from RNAcentral.